This 253-nucleotide ribosomal RNA is filed under the name uncultured bacterium. RNAcentral's name for it is "partial 16S ribosomal RNA". It matches the Rfam family "Bacterial small subunit ribosomal RNA", at positions 524 to 776 of the family's 1533-position model. The record is from RNAcentral.
UACGUAGGGGGCAAGCGUUGUCCGGAAUCAUUGGGCGUAAAGCGCGUGUAGGCGGCUUGGUAAGUCCGUUCUGAAAGCCCGGGGCUCAACCCCGGGAGGCGGAUGGAUACUGUCAAGCUUGAGUCCGGAAGAGGCGAGUGGAAUUCCCGGUGUAGCGGUGAAAUGCGCAGAUAUCGGGAGGAACACCAAUGGCGAAGGCAGCUCGCUGGGACGUUACUGACACUGAGGCGCGAAAGCAUGGGGAGCGAACAGG